AGAUAACUGGUUUCGGAGUCAUUAAUGUGGAAGAGAUCUACAACGUCCAUUCCACAACAAUGGCUGGAAGAAUCCAUGGGGACUGUAUGUGGCUUCCUGAAAAAAGUGAUAUCCCCACCCUCCACCCCCGUUUUCCCGAAGCAAUGGGAGAUUCGGAACUAAUUCUAGGUUGCGGAAAAAUCUUUUCUGGAAGAAGUAAAAAGGAAAAAUAAAAGAUGAUCUGAAGGGAAAUUUUAUUUUAUUUAUUUUAAAUUUUUUGUGAGGACGAUUGGCCCUGCUUGAGGAAGAUCUGCGCCCAGGAUCUGAAGCUGUGAACCCCAGGCCAGCAAAGUGGAGCACGCAAACUUAACCACUACGCCACCAGGCCAGCCUCGUGUAAACGCUAUUCUUGUCAAAAAACUAAAGAGAAACUCCCUUCAUACCCCAGUCUUCAAGUGAUUUCCAUGGAGCUGAAAUGGUUUGGAGGAGAGAAGCAACUAUAUAGACAAGUUUUUAAAGUUUGGGAUGAUCUCAUUUGGGGAUGAAAAAGACGGCUGUGCACUGAGAAUUUCCCACAGAUUAUCUCUAUUUGGGAAAAAAUAUAAGCUGAUAUUGUCUUUAUUUUAGGUUACUGAAAGAUGAGCCACAUCUAAAUAUAUUCUAUUCAUUCAAUUCAACAACUAUUUAUUGAGCACACGCUAUGUGCAGGAUACUGUUCUCAUCACUAGAGAUGGAACAGUGAACAAAACUGACAAAAAUUCCUACCCUGUGGAACUUACGGUCCAGCCGGAGGUGAGCAAGGCUUGAUGAGUGGUGUGUAGGUCUGUGCCUGGCAUCUGAACCUGGAAACCCCAGACCACUGAAGCAGAGCAUGCAAACUUAACCACUACAUGGCCAGGCCAGCCCCAGACCUCAUUUGAAAGGUAUCAUUUGAGCAAAGACUUCAAGAAGGUUUCUUUGGGUCAGGAGCAACUUAGCUGAGCAGUGCUGGCUUGAGAUCUCUCAUGAAGGGUCAGUCAAGAUGUCAGGUGGAGCUGCAGUCCUCUGAAAGUUCAACGGAGGCUGAGAUCCCCUUUCAAGGUGGCUCACUCACAUGGCUGAUGCCUCAGUUCUCUUCAGGCUCCGUUCCCCAAGGCUGCUUGAGUAUCCUCAUAACUUGGUGGCUGGCUUACCCCAGAAUGAAUGAUUCAAGAAGGAGAGCACCAAGUGGAAGCUACGUCCUGGAAAGUAUGGUAGCAUCUUUUCCACCAUCUGUUGGUUAUCUGUGAGUCACAGUGGAGGAAGAGAACUUCUCUUUCCCAAUAGUUUCAACCACAGUUCUAGAAUUGUUUCCCAGUAGCUUUGCCUGGGUCAUCAUCACUCUGGCCAAACAUGAGUCUUGUGCUAGUCCUUGGAGCUGAGAGAUGAGGUCAGUUCCAUCUGAAACACAUGGACUGAAAGUGGGAGAGAGAGAGUUCCCCAAAGGGAAAUCAGGGUAUUGUUACCAGAAGAAGAAGGAAUAGAUACCAGACAAGCAAAAAUAAAAGAUGUCCACUAUAGUGCCUCUGCGUUAUUGGAAAUUGUUAUGGAAAGUGUGCAUUCCUUUUAUGAAAAAACUUACAUUAAAGACAAAAAAGUUUAAAGAUAUUAACUGUCAUCUCUGCAAAGUGCAAUUACAGUAAAAUUUCUCCCAGUUUUCUAUUUAUUCCAAAUUUCCUUUCAUGGGUAGGUAUUACAUUUUUUUUCCCGCUUUUUCUCCCCAAAUCCCCCCCAAUACAUAGUUGUAUAUUUUAGUUGUAGGUCCUUCUAGUUGUGGCAUGUGGGAUGCCACCUCAACAUGGCUUGAUGAGUGGUGCCAUGUCUGCCCCUAGGAUCCAAACCAGUGAAACCCUGGGCCAACGAAGUGGAG
Molecule: long non-coding RNA, 1867 nt
Organism: Equus caballus (horse)
Lineage: Eukaryota; Metazoa; Chordata; Mammalia; Perissodactyla; Equidae
Source: Ensembl